GAUGAACGCUGGCGGCGUGCCUAAUACAUGCAAGUCGAGCGAACAGACGAGGAGCUUGCUCCUCUGACGUUAGCGGCGGACGGGUGAGUAACACGUGGAUAACCUACCUAUAAGACUGGGAUAACUUCGGGAAACCGGAGCUAAUACCGGAUAAUAUAUUGAACCGCAUGGUUCAAUAGUGAAAGACGGUUUUGCUGUCACUUAUAGAUGGAUCCGCGCCGCAUUAGUUAGUUGGUAAGGUAACGGCUUACCAAGGCAACGAUGGGUAGCCGACCUGAGAGGGUGAUCGGCCACACUGGAACUGAGACACGGUCCAGACUCCUACGGGAGGCAGCAGUAGGGAAUCUUCCGCAAUGCGCUAAAUCCUGACGUAGCAACGCCUCGUGAGUGAUGAAGGUCUUCGGAUCGUAAAACUCUGUUAGUAGGGAAGAACAAAUGUUUAAGUAACUAUUCACGUCUUGACUGUACCUAAUCAGAAAGCCACGGCUAACUACGUG
RNAcentral lists this ribosomal RNA (497 nucleotides) under uncultured bacterium. RNAcentral describes it as "partial 16S ribosomal RNA". It matches the Rfam family "Bacterial small subunit ribosomal RNA", at positions 28 to 507 of the family's 1533-position model. The record is from RNAcentral.